RNAcentral lists this ribosomal RNA (497 nucleotides) under uncultured bacterium. Its description in RNAcentral is "partial 16S ribosomal RNA". It matches the Rfam family "Bacterial small subunit ribosomal RNA", at positions 28 to 507 of the family's 1533-position model. The record is from RNAcentral.
GAUGAACGCUGGCGGCGUGCCUAAUACAUGCAAGUCGAGCGAACGGACGAGAAGCUUGCUUCUCUGAUGUUAGCGGCGGACGGGUGAGUAACACGUGGAUAACCUACCUAUAAGACUGGGAUAACUUCGGGAAACCGGAGCUAAUACCGGAUGAUAUUUUGAACCGCAUGGUUCAAAAGUGAAAGACGGUCUUGCUGUCACUUAUAGAUGGAUCCGCGCUGCAUUAGCUAGUUGGUAAGGUAACGGCUUACCAAGGCAACGAUGCAUAGCCGACCUGAGAGGGUGAUCGGCCACACUGGAACUGAGACACGGUCCAGACUCCUACGGGAGGCAGCAGUAGGGAAUCUUCCGCAAUGGGCGAAAGCCUGACGGACCAACGCCGCGUGAGUGAUGAAGGUCUUCGGAUCGUAAAACUCUGUUAUUAGGGAAGAACAUAUGUGUAAGUAACUGUGCACAUCUUGACGGUACCUAAUCAGAAAGCCACGGCUAACUACGUG